RNAcentral lists this transfer RNA (17 nucleotides) under Dicranomyia kauaiensis. RNAcentral's name for it is "partial tRNA-Lys". Lineage: Eukaryota; Metazoa; Arthropoda; Insecta; Diptera; Limoniidae. The record is from RNAcentral.
UAUUCAUUAAGUGGCUG